AGUGAACGCUGGCGGUAGGCCUAACACAUGCAAGUCGAACGGCAGCACAGUAAGCGCUUGCUCUUACGGGUGGCGAGUGGCGGACGGGUGAGGAAUACAUCGGAAUCUACUUUUUCGUGGGGGAUAACGUAGGGAAACUUACGCUAAUACCGCAUACGACCUACGGGUGAACGCAGGGGAUCUUCGGACCUUGCGCGAUUGAAUGAGCCGAUGUCGGAUUAGCUAGUUGGCGGCGUAAAGGCCCACCAAGGCGACGAUCCGUAGCUGGUCUGAGAGGAUGAUCAGCCACACUGGAACUGAGACACGUUCCACACUCCUACGGGAGGCAGCCGUGGGGAAUAUUGGACAAUGGGCGCAUGCCUGAUCCAGCCAUACCGCGUGGGUGAAGAAGGCCUUCGGGUUGUAGAGCCCUUUUGUUGGGAAAGAAAAGCAGCAGGUUAAUACCCCGCUGUUCUGACGGUACCCAAAGAAGAAGCACCGGCUAACUUCGUG
This 492-nucleotide ribosomal RNA is filed under the name uncultured bacterium. Its description in RNAcentral is "partial 16S ribosomal RNA". It matches the Rfam family "Bacterial small subunit ribosomal RNA", at positions 29 to 507 of the family's 1533-position model. The record is from RNAcentral.